RNAcentral lists this non-coding RNA (26 nucleotides) under Mus musculus (house mouse). Lineage: Eukaryota; Metazoa; Chordata; Mammalia; Rodentia; Muridae. The record is from RNAcentral.
CCUGGUCCACAAUGUCAAGGAGCUGG